GGGGAAUUUUCCGCAAUGGGCGCAAGCCUGACGGAGCAACGCCGCGUGAGGGAUGGAGGCCUUUGGGCUGUAAACCUCUUUUCUCAAGGAAGAAGAUCUGACGGUACUUGAGGAAUAAGCCACGGCUAAUUCCGUGCCAGCAGCCGCGGUAAUACGGGAGUGGCAAGCGUUAUCCGGAAUUAUUGGGCGUAAAGCGUCCGCAGGCGGCCGUUUAAGUCUGUUGUUAAAUCGUGGAGCUCAACUCCAUCACGGCAAUGGAAACUGUUCGGCUUGAGUAUGGUAGGGGCAGAGGGAAUUUCCGGUGUAGCGGUGAAAUGCGUAGAUAUCGGGAAGAACACCAGUGGCAAAAGCGCUCUGCUGGGCCAUUACUGACGCUCAUGGACGAAAGCCAGGGGAGCGAAAGGGAUUAGAUACCCCUGUAGUCCUGGCCGUCAACGAUGAACACUAGAUGUUGGGGGAAUCGACCCCCUCGGUGUCGUAGCUAACGCGUUAAGUGUUCCGCCUGGGGAGUACGCACGCAAGUGUGAAACUCAAAGGAAUUGACGGGGGCCCGCCCAACCGGUGGAGUAUGUGGUUUAAUUCGAUGCAACGCGAAGAACCUUACCAAGGCUUGACAUCCUGCGAAUCUCCAAGAAGUUGGAGAGUGCCUUUUGGAACGCAGUGACAGGUGGUGCAUGGCUGUCGUCAGCUCGUGUCGUGAGAUGUUGGGUUAAGUCCCGCAACGAGCGCAACCCACGUUUUUAGUUGCCAGCAUUCAGUUGGGCACUCUAGAAAGACUGCCGGUGACAAACCGGAGGAGGGUGUGGACGACGUCAAGUCAUCAUGCCCCUUACGCCUUGGGCUACACACGUACUACAAUGCUGCGGACAAAGAGUAGCGAUCUUGCGAAAGUUAGCUAAUCUCGUAAACCGCGGCUCAGUUCAGAUCGUAGGCUGCAACUCGCCUACGUGAAGGAGGAAUCGCUAGUAAUCGCAGGUCAGCAUACUGCGGUGAAUACGUUCCCGGGCCUUGUACACACCGCCCGU
This 1025-nucleotide ribosomal RNA is filed under the name uncultured marine bacterium. Its description in RNAcentral is "bacterial SSU rRNA". It matches the Rfam family "Bacterial small subunit ribosomal RNA", at positions 356 to 1397 of the family's 1533-position model. The record is from RNAcentral.